This 253-nucleotide ribosomal RNA is filed under the name uncultured Chryseobacterium sp. RNAcentral's name for it is "partial 16S ribosomal RNA". It matches the Rfam family "Bacterial small subunit ribosomal RNA", at positions 524 to 776 of the family's 1533-position model. The record is from RNAcentral. Lineage: Bacteria; Pseudomonadati; Bacteroidota; Flavobacteriia; Flavobacteriales; Weeksellaceae.
UACGGAGGGUGCAAGCGUUAUCCGGAUUUAUUGGGUUUAAAGGGUCCGUAGGCGGAUCAGUAAGUCAGUGGUGAAAUCUCAUAGCUUAACUAUGAAACUGCCAUUGAUACUGCUGGUCUUGAGUGUAGUUGAAGUAGCUGGAAUAAGUAGUGUAGCGGUGAAAUGCAUAGAUAUUACUUAGAACACCAAUUGCGAAGGCAGGUUACUAAGUUACAACUGACGCUGAUGGACGAAAGCGUGGGGAGCGAACAGG